Molecule: ribosomal RNA, 796 nt
Filed under: uncultured bacterium
Lineage: Bacteria
Description: bacterial SSU rRNA
Rfam family: Bacterial small subunit ribosomal RNA
Source: RNAcentral
UGCAGAGGAAGUUUUCGGAUGGAAUCGGCGUAACUUAGUGGCGGACGGGUGAGUAACGCGUGGGAAACCUGCCCUGUACCGGGGGAUAACACUUAGAAAUAGGUGCUAAUACCGCAUAAGCGCACAGCUUCACAUGAGGCAGUGUGAAAAACUCCGGUGGUACAGGAUGGUCCCGCGUCUGAUUAGCCAGUUGGCAGGGUAACGGCCUACCAAAGCGACGAUCAGUAGCCGGCCUGAGAGGGUGAACGGCCACAUUGGGACUGAGACACGGCCCAAACUCCUACGGGAGGCAGCAGUGGGGAAUAUUGCACAAUGGGGGAAACCCUGAUGCAGCGACGCCGCGUGAGUGAAGAAGUAUUUCGGUAUGUAAAGCUCUAUCAGCAGGGAAGAAAAUGACGGUACCUGACUAAGAAGCCCCGGCUAACUACGUGCCAGCAGCCGCGGUAAUACGUAGGGGGCAAGCGUUAUCCGGAUUUACUGGGUGUAAAGGGAGCGUAGACGGCAUGACAAGCCAGAUGUGAAAACCCAGGGCUCAACCCUGGGACUGCAUUUGGAACUGCCAGGCUGGAGUGCAGGAGAGGUAAGCGGAAUUCCUAGUGUAGCGGUGAAGUGCGUAGAUAUUAGGAGGAACACCAGUGGCGAAGGCGGCUUACUGGACUGUAACUGACGUUGAGGCUCGAAAGCGUGGGGAGCAAACAGGAUUAGAUACCCUGGUAGUCCACGCGGUAAACGAUGAUUGCUAGGUGUAGGUGGGUAUGGACCCAUCGGUGCCGCAGCUAACGCAAUAAGCAAUCCA